RNAcentral lists this transfer RNA (71 nucleotides) under subsurface metagenome. RNAcentral describes it as "tRNA-Tyr". It matches the Rfam family "tRNA". Rfam says of the family: Transfer RNA (tRNA) molecules are approximately 80 nucleotides in length. Their secondary structure includes four short double-helical elements and three loops (D, anti-codon, and T loops). The record is from RNAcentral.
CCCUCUAUAGCUUAGUGGCAGAGCGGUUGGCUGUAGCCCGACAUGUCCCAGUUCGAUUCUGGGUGGAGGGA